Arachis ipaensis is the source of this 338-nucleotide non-coding RNA. Lineage: Eukaryota; Viridiplantae; Streptophyta; Magnoliopsida; Fabales; Fabaceae. The record is from RefSeq and is a predicted model, not a curated record.
GUUUUUGCGAUCAAAUACUAAACCUCUGAAGAUUCCAAGAGUUAGCAAAAUAUCUGCGGGUGGGGAGGCAAGGAACGCUGAAGAGCAUAGUGCUGAACUGAACAAAGACAACAAAGACAAAGAAAUAUACUGUUUCGAUGUUACAAGGGGCAUGAAAUGCAAAUUCAAGCUAAACCCAAAGAUGAGUCUCAAAUCUGAAGAAAUUCAGGGCGCUGCAUUCAUAUUUUCUGCAGAGCUAGAUGCAGGAGAAAAGCUUCUUAAGAUAGGAGAUGUGACUGCAACUAGGAAGGAUUUUGAGUCGCUCUGUCCAACACAAAAAAUAAGUGAGAAGAUAUUGU